Molecule: long non-coding RNA, 417 nt
Filed under: Mustela putorius furo (domestic ferret)
Lineage: Eukaryota; Metazoa; Chordata; Mammalia; Carnivora; Mustelidae
Description: lncRNA (ENSMPUG00000028894.1)
Source: RNAcentral
AGAUGGGGAGUAAAACCCAAGAAGCUGCUGGCCAUUGGCUAGAAAUCAAACAAAACAAAGAAUUAAUUGGAACUAAGGCUGUACAGAGUGCUAAUCUAUACCAGUCAUGGGAACAGGCAAGAAAAGCCAGGGGCCCAGGCAGCAUAGACGGAGAACGUCAAGAGCAAGGACUGCGUGAAAAGGCCUGGGAGGUCCAAGGAAAUGUCCAGAUUCUUCUGGAAUGGGCUCAUUAUGGAUGCCUGGAUUUAAUUAAGCAACCCAUUCUACUGCCAGCUGGCCAGAGUUUGGACAACACCAUCACCUCCUUCUUCUUGCUGCGCUGAAGAAACAAAGAUAAUGACACUUUCCCAAGGCUGGGGCUGGGUAAGGCUUAAUUUGGGAGUGUUUGGAAAUGACUUUGAAGACGCACAGGUUAUU